Molecule: long non-coding RNA, 271 nt
Organism: Talpa occidentalis (Iberian mole)
Lineage: Eukaryota; Metazoa; Chordata; Mammalia; Eulipotyphla; Talpidae
Exons: 3
Source: RefSeq, a predicted model, not a curated record
AAAGUCCAAGGUCAAGAUGCCAGCAGAUUCAGUGUCUAGUGAAGCCUGUUUCCUGGUACAUAGAGAGCUCUCUCUAUUAUCUCACAGGACACAAGGGUCAAAGGAGUUAUCUGGAGUCUCUUUGGACAUGUUGCUCUAUCACCCAUAACUGAUUCCUUGGGAGGCCUGACAGCGAUGUUUUCUCAACAUGCAGGGUUCUGGAUCUAUACUCAUAAGGACUUGACCACUCCAAGACAAUAAAAUCUGCUCGUGGAAACAGGCUAAGUGGAUU